Molecule: ribosomal RNA, 251 nt
Filed under: uncultured prokaryote
Description: partial 16S rRNA
Rfam family: Bacterial small subunit ribosomal RNA
Source: RNAcentral
ACGUAGGAGGCGAGCGUUAUCCGGAUUUACUGGGUGUAAAGCGCGUGCAGGCGGUUCAGAAAGUUGGAUGUGAAAGCUCCUGGCUUAACUGGGAGAGGUCGUUCAAUACUUCUGGACUCGAGUAUGGAAGAGGGAGGUGGAAUUCCGGGUGUAGUGGUGAAAUGCGUAGAUAUCCGGAGGAACACCAGUGGCGAAAGCGGCCUCCUGGCCCAUUACUGACGCUCAGACGCGAAAGCUAGGGUAGCAAACGG